This is a long non-coding RNA of Homo sapiens (human), 2765 nucleotides long. RefSeq lists it as uncharacterized. The transcript is spliced from 3 exons. The record is from RefSeq and is a predicted model, not a curated record. NCBI's taxonomy places the organism in Eukaryota, Metazoa, Chordata, Mammalia, Primates, Hominidae.
AUGGAGUCUCGUUCUUGUCGCCCAGUCUGGAGUGCAAUGGCGUGAUCUCGGCUCACCGCAACCUGUCCUCCUGGGUUCAAGCAAUUCUUCUGCCUCAGCCUCCGAAGUAGCUAGGCUUACAGACACGUGCCACCACACCCUGCCAAUUUUUGUAUUUUUAGUAGACAGGCUGUUAGGCAGGCUGGUCUUGAACUCCUAACCUCAGGUGAUCCGCCCACCUUGGCCUCCCAAAGUGCUGGGAUUACAGGCAUGAGCCACCGCACCCAGCAUGCUGAUUCACUUUCUGCAGUUUCAGUUACCCACAGUCAACCAUGGGCCAGAACAUAGUUACACUGCCACAAGUUGUGGAUGGGAGGGCUGGAUUUCCUGAACCCUUCCCAGCAUUGCUCGAGUUUCUUGGUUCCUCCGCUAGAGAAGAGGAGCCCCAGAGCUCUGUAGGCUCCAGAAAAGUGCCCAAAUCAUAAGCAGACAUCUCAUUGGAUUUACUGAGCACACCCAGGUAUCCACCACCCAAGGGAAGCAACGAAGGUGACCCCACCCAGCAUUUACCCUGUGUCCCUAUCUUGGACAUUGAUUCUGCUCCAGAGGUCACAAUCUCAUGCCGCCAAUUGCCAUAGAUUCGUUUUGCUUGGUCUUAAACUUUAUAUAAAUGGUAAGUUGCAAAAAGUGGAAACUUUCGUUACUGGAUUCUUUUGUUGGCCUUAUGCUUGUAAGAUGCGUCCACAAUGUUAAGAUACAUUUCUUGCAAUAAUUUGUAGAAUUUACAUCUUUACAAUGUUCAACAUUCCCAUUCAGAAUCAUGAUAUAGAUCUUCAUUUAAUCAAAUCUGUGCAUGUGUUAGAAAAUUCAAAGAGUGUAUUUUUAUAGUAUUGUAACUUGGUAAUUUAUGGCUUUAGUUGCUAUUGAGAGUAAAUUUUCCAGCAUAUUUUUAAACUGGUUCUUGCUGAUAAAAUACCCGGUGAUUAAAAUAUAUGUAUAUAGUUGUCGUUUUACAUAUAAAAUAUUUUAAUCAGCUUGUCUUUGAUUACUGGUAAAGUGAGCACAUUUCCAUGUGUUUAUUGGCCACAUUAAUUUUUACCUUUUAAUUGCUGCUACUGCUGCUUCUGCUUCUUCUUCUUGUUCUUCCUAGUUAUUCUUGUUAAUUUUAACAAUUCUUUAUAUUUUAAGGAUAUCUUUGGAAUAUGUUGUGAAAGUAUUUUCCCAGUUUAUCUUUUUUUCUUAACUUGUUGCUAUUUUUUGACGUAUUUUAAAAUAUGUGCAGAGGCAAAUCAAUCAUUUGUUUAUUUUGUGAUACCUUCUUUGCAUUUAUUUUUAGAACACUUUUUAUUAAAUGACUUAUCUUCCCUUCCUUUUUUUGAGGUAAUGUCUCUAUUGUAUACUAUAUAUAUUUGUAUCUAUUUCUGGACUUUAUAUUUUAUUCCAUUGAUAUGGCUAGGUAUAGAAUUGUACAAUUUAAAUUAUUAUAGCUCUAUAAAGCAUUUUGAUUUUUUUCAACGUGAGUCAUUUUUCCUUAUUCUGCUUUUCCAAACAAUUUUGGUUGUUCUCAUUUUUUCUUGCAAAUAAAAUAUAUGUAUCAUUUCACUGAAUUCCAAACAAAUAAAAUCUCUUCAGAUUUUGAAUUGGAAUUGCAUUAAAUGUGUAAAUUAUCUCCAAAAAGUUUACAUCUUCCCAUUAUUUGUCCUCCUAUCCAGGAAAUUAUACAUCUUUUUAUUUGUUCAAAUAUUCUUUUCUGCCCCUUAUUAAAUUUUUAACUUUUCUUUGGGUGCACUUUUCUUGUUAGGUUUAUUUGUAUGAAUUUUAUAUUGUUUUGUUAUUUUAAAUUUAAAUACUCUUUUAAAUGUGUUGUUAGUUGGUUAUUAGUGGUGUGUAGGAAAAGUAUUUCUUAUAUUGCUAUAAUAAUGAUAGUUAAACUUUAUAGAGUGAAACAAGGAAAGACAGUGUAACACAGGUGGUUAGGAGAAAGGGUUUUGGAGUCAGAUUACCUGGAUUCAAAUGCCAGUCCUAUUACUAGGUGUAUGACAUUGGGCCUUGGUGUCCUCAUUUGUACAAUGGGGGUGAUACAAUUCUUGCUUCAUAGGAUGCAUAUAAAGUGAUUAGGUUAUACUCAAGUUUCUUUGGACAGACUAAUCAUAUAACUUACAAGUAAUAAUUUUAUCCUUUUUGAUGUUUUUACUGUUUUUCUGUAUGUCUUAUAAUGGGAAUUUCUAGGAAAAUGUUUACCAACAUUUGUGGUAAUUAACAUCCUCAACUGUUUCCUGAUUUUAACGAGAACAUCUUUAUUAUUUCAUUGUUAACUAUGAUGGUGGGUAUUUGUUAAUUAAUAGGUCUUAUUGGGAAUGAAUGUUGAAUUUUACCACAUGCCUUUUUAGUAUUUAUUGCGAUAAUCAUUUUUCCUUUCUCAAACCUUUCUGUGUGAUACUUUGUAUUAUUAGUUUUCUCACAUUGAUCCAUCAUUGCAUUUUAGUAAUCAAAUAUCCUUGGUAUGAUAUAGUCUUCUUCUAAUAUAUUGCUGGAUUUGAUUUGCUAAAACAUUUUAAAGCUUUUUCUCCAUACUUGUAAGCUAUAUUAGUGUCAGUUGCCUCCUUUGCCCUAGGUUCAUCAGACUUGUUAACAAGAUUACAAGUUUAUAAGUUAAUUUGGAAUUUAUAAGUAGAUUUGGAAAGAUUUACAUAUAUUGCUGUGUUCUGCAAUAAUUUGUUUAGAAUGGGAAUUAACUUUUUGUUGAAGGUUUGAAAAAACUCACCCAUAAACAAACUACACACCCA